CACCGAGAAUCAGCAAGUGCCAGGCACUCCUGCUUCUGAAAUAUUGAUACCUCCUCCCCAGGGGGUAGUAGCCCCAGGGACACGGCUUCGAGACUACAAGAAACUGUGUCUGUCCAGGAGCACAGUGAGAAGGGAAACCAGGACCGUGACGGAAUGAAGACUCCCUGCAGCCGGGAAGGUCUUCACGGAGAAGCUGCACUGGGUUUGGACAGGCAAAGGGAAACAGUUCACAGGGAAAGUGAACUGAGCGGUGCCAGGCCGUGAGCUGCUGUUGGGUGCAGUGGAGAUAAGGUUUCGAGGGGAGAUCUGAAUCAGCCCGUGGGACAGGAUCAUGUGCCAGAAACCGAGGCGAAGCUGGAACAGCAGUCUUCGGGACCGGAUCCGGUGGGGGCGGGCAGUGUUCUCAGUGUGCAAGGACAGAAAAUAGCUUCUUGGCAUUAAAAAAGCAACACUGAAGGACCGCAUAUUCAGUGAAUUAGAAAACAUUUCUCUACCCAGCACAUGCUACUGAGAGGGUUCUCUGCUGGAAAAAAAUAACUAAAGCGAGUAAUGAACAUGGAGCGCUGUUACCACGAGGAAGAUGGGAGACAAGAGACAUUCAUGUCAAAUACACUGUCUUUCCUUCUUGUUGAACUUAUUGGGGUGACAUUGGUUAAUACAACCAUACAGGUUUCGAGUGUACAACUCAACCAGACAGCAUCUGCACACUGCACGGUGCAUCCACCGCCCAAAGCAAAGUCUCUUUCUGUCCCCAGUUGUUCCCUCUCUGCCCGGCCUCCCCCAACCCCCUUCCCUGUGGCUAUCACCAUACUGUCCUGUGUGUCUGUGGGGUCAUAUAUACAUGUUUUUCUGCCUAAUUCCUUCACCUUCUUUUAUCCAGCUCCCCAAAACCCCUCCCCUCUGAUAGCUGUCAGUCUGUUGCAUGUGUCCAGGCCUCUGUUCCAGUUUUGUUCAUCAGUUUACUUUGUUCAUUAGAAAAUACACUGCUUUUUGUUUUGAUGUAGUGUGUGUUUUUUUUGCUAUAGACAGCCCAUAUAUGAAUUUUAAA
Molecule: long non-coding RNA, 1048 nt
Organism: Artibeus jamaicensis (Jamaican fruit-eating bat)
Lineage: Eukaryota; Metazoa; Chordata; Mammalia; Chiroptera; Phyllostomidae
Exons: 3
Source: RefSeq, a predicted model, not a curated record